ACGGGCGUAGCUCAAUUGGUAGAGUAGCGGUCUCCAAAACCGUUGGCUGGGGGUUCGAGUCCCUCCGCCCGUGCAA
This 76-nucleotide transfer RNA is filed under the name Bacteroidetes bacterium HLUCCA01. Its description in RNAcentral is "tRNA-Trp". It matches the Rfam family "tRNA". From Rfam's summary of the family: Transfer RNA (tRNA) molecules are approximately 80 nucleotides in length. Their secondary structure includes four short double-helical elements and three loops (D, anti-codon, and T loops). Lineage: Bacteria; Pseudomonadati; Bacteroidota. The record is from RNAcentral.